This 101-nucleotide unclassified non-coding RNA is filed under the name uncultured fungus. RNAcentral's name for it is "sequence contains ITS1". The record is from RNAcentral. Lineage: Eukaryota; Fungi.
GUCUACCAACAAGAUCAUAUGUUGGAUUCGACUGGACCUGACUAAUCCGUAGGAGUAAGAUAGUUCCGGUAGACAGCACCACGUUUCUUAAAUGCAGCUCA